CGCGCUUGUACGACAGGCGUUAAAACUUCCUGGUUUCCAUUCCGCCCCCUGGCGACGCUCUUUGGAAGCACAUGUACGCACGCCCAUUUUUUCUCUGAGCCCCAGAAGGAAGGCGGACAGGCUUCGGCUUCCCCAGGGAAAGUUCUUAGUAAAACCCACGCGAAGAAGAUGCCUGUGCCAAUUAGUAGAGUCCUUAGGAAGAUGUUUCACGUGUUCUGCUGUUCACUGCAUUUCUCCUGAAGACAUCGUUGGAUCUAGAACUUGGAUCACACUUCAGCGUAGUUGCUGUUUCAGCCUCCAUCAGGAGGUGUAGCUCAUCUAGUUGCCUUUCAUUUUGUGAUGUUUCCAGUGAUUGAUAAUUAGUGUCUAAAUGUAUUCAUUCAUUAGAGGUCACGUUCUAAUCCUGUCAUAAGGGAAAAUAUUCUAACACCAUCAUUUUUUUCUUCACUUACUUGCUGGACUCUUUCUGUGAAGACAGACUUCCUCUAAAUUUCGUUUACCCAAUGGUACUGUUUGUAUAGGAAGGCAGAAGAAAUGCUUGCUUCUCCCUUCAGUUACUAACUUCCAACAUAAGGCGUCAAUUCAGUAGAUCUUCUAAUGCUGACUGA
Molecule: non-coding RNA, 608 nt
Organism: Sus scrofa (pig)
Lineage: Eukaryota; Metazoa; Chordata; Mammalia; Artiodactyla; Suidae
Source: RefSeq, a predicted model, not a curated record